This 374-nucleotide ribosomal RNA is filed under the name uncultured organism. RNAcentral describes it as "partial 16S ribosomal RNA". It matches the Rfam family "Bacterial small subunit ribosomal RNA", at positions 527 to 896 of the family's 1533-position model. The record is from RNAcentral.
AGAGGGUGCGAGCGUUAAUCGGAUUUACUGGGCGUAAAGCGUGCGUAGGCGGCUUUUUAAGUCGGAUGUGAAAUCCCUGAGCUUAACUUAGGAAUUGCAUUCGAUACUGGGAAGCUAGAGUAUGGGAGAGGAUGGUAGAAUUCCAGGUGUAGCGGUGAAAUGCGUAGAGAUCUGGAGGAAUACCGAUGGCGAAGGCAGCCAUCUGGCCUAAUACUGACGCUGAGGUACGAAAGCAUGGGGGGAGCAAACAGGAUUAGAUACCCUGGUAGUCCAUGCCCGUAAACGAUGUCUACUAGCCGUUGGGGCCCUUUGAGGCUUUAGUGGCGCAGCUAACGCGAUAAGUAGACCCGCCUGGGAGUACGGUCGCAAGACUA